GCUUCUUUGACGUUGGCAUACAGUAGAUCCAGGUAUUGUUUUCUCUGGUAGGACAGUUCACAAACUGUGUGAAUCCAGUCAGGUGAGAGGAGAGGGUGACAUGGUUGAAGUCUCCCGAUAUUAUUAUUAGUGCCUCAGGGUGUUGAGUCUGUAGCCUGGCAACACUAUUUUGCAAAGCAUUCUUCAGUUGCUUUGGGUGGAAUUUAAACAACUACUGUUAUGAUAUGACUAAAUUCUCUUGGAACAUAAUAUGGCCGGAGAGCAACUGCCAACAGUUCAAUAUCUGGACAACACAACUUCUCCUUGACAAUUAUGUGUGAAGGGUUACACCAUCUCUGGUUGACAAAUAAAGCCAGACCUCCUCCUUUCUUCUUGCUACUAGCUUGAGCAUCUCUGUCUGACCUUAUGAGAGUGGAGACAGGUAGAGCCACACUGGAGUCCAAGUUGUUUUGAUUCAACCAGGUUUCAGUAAAACACAGAAAACUGCACUCACGGUAUGCUUUCUCAGUUUUCACCAAGAUCUCCAGCUCAUUGCUUUUGUUGGGCAGAGGUUUGACGUUUCCCAUGAUGAUUGAUGGAAGAAAGGGUUUAUAUCGCCACCUCCUAGCAUUCAGCUUUGCCUUCACCUUUGCACCAGCACGGCAACCACGAUAACACUUCCUGAUGUCCUCUGGAAUUGUAUGUUGUCCAGAUUUGCUUUUCCUCAAUGAAAGGAGCUCUUCUCUUGAGUAAAC
This is a non-coding RNA of Xyrichtys novacula (pearly razorfish), 734 nucleotides long. NCBI's taxonomy places the organism in Eukaryota, Metazoa, Chordata, Actinopteri, Labriformes, Labridae. The record is from the annotation of a GenBank genome assembly.